This 580-nucleotide ribosomal RNA is filed under the name Limnophora simulans. RNAcentral's name for it is "partial 12S ribosomal RNA". The stretch from base 1 to 386 matches the Rfam family "Microsporidia small subunit ribosomal RNA", at positions 780 to 1311 of the family's 1311-position model. The record is from RNAcentral. Lineage: Eukaryota; Metazoa; Arthropoda; Insecta; Diptera; Muscidae.
UAAAAAAUUGGCGGUAUUUUAGUCUAUUCAGAGGAACCUGUUCUGUAAUCGAUAAUCCACGAUGGACCUUACUUAAAUUUGUAAUCAGUUUAUAUACCGUCGUUAUUAGAAUAUUUUAAAAGAAUAUUAAUUUUCUAAAUUUUUUAAUAAAAAAUAUAUCAGAUCAAGGUGUAGCUUAUAUUUAAGUAGAAAUGGGUUACAAUAGAAUUAUUUAAAUGGAUUUAAAUUUGAAAUUUUUUUUUGAAAGUGGAUUUGAUAGUAAAAUUAUAUAGAUUAAUAGUUUGAUUUUAGCUCUAAAAUAUGUACACAUCGCCCGUCACUCUUAUUAUUAAGGUAAGAUAAGUCGUAACAUAGUAGAUGUACUGGAAAGUGUCUCUAGAAUGCAAUUUAAAGCUUUAUUAGUAAAGUAUUUCAUUUACAUUGAAAAGAUUUUUGUGCAAAUCAAUAUAAAUUGAUUAAAUUUUAUUUAUUAAUUUUUUUUGUUAUUUAAAGUAAUUAUUAAAAAUAAUUAUAAAAAUUAUUGUUUUAGUAUUUUAUAAAGAAAAAAUAAUUUAAAUUAUAGUUAAAUAGUAUUGUGAAA